GAUGAACGCUGGCGGCGUGCUUAACACAUGCAAGUCGAACGGUGAAGGCGGAGCUUGCUCUGCUGGAUCAGUGGUGAACGGGUGAGUAACACGUGAGCAAUCUGCCCCUGACUCUGGGAUAAGCGCUGGAAACGGCGUCUAAUACUGGAUACGAGCUGCGAAGGCAUCUUCAGCAGCUGGAAAGAAUUUCGGUCAGGGAUGAGCUCGCGGCCUAUCAGCUUGUUGGUGAGGUAAUGGCUCACCAAGGCGUCGACGGGUAGCCGGCCUGAGAGGGUGACCGGCCACACUGGGACUGAGACACGGCCCAGACUCCUACGGGAGGCAGCAGUGGGGAAUAUUGCACAAUGGGCGAAAGCCUGAUGCAGCAACGCCGCGUGAGGGACGACGGCCUUCGGGUUGUAAACCUCUUUUAGCAGGGAAGGAGCGAAAGUGACGGUACCUGCAGAAAAAGCGCCGGCUAACUACGUG
This 468-nucleotide ribosomal RNA is filed under the name uncultured bacterium. Its description in RNAcentral is "partial 16S ribosomal RNA". It matches the Rfam family "Bacterial small subunit ribosomal RNA", at positions 28 to 507 of the family's 1533-position model. The record is from RNAcentral.